AGUUAAAAAGCUCGUAGUCGGAUUUCGGGGCCUGCCGAGCGGUCUGCCGAUGGGUAUGCACUGUUCGGCGCGUCCUCCUUUCCGGAGACUAAUUCUACUCUUAACUGAGCGGAAUUGGGAGACGGAUCGUUUACUUUGAAAAAAUCAGAGUGUUUCAAGCAGGCAGCUCGCUCUUGCAUGGAUUAGCAUGGGAUAAUGAAAUAGGACUCUGGUGCUAUUUUGUUGGUUUCGAACACCGGAGUAAUGAUUAACAGGGACAGUCAGGGGCACUCGUAUUCCGUCGAGAGAGGUGAAAUUCUCAGACCAAUGGAAGACGAACCACUGCGAAAGCAUUUGCCAGGGAUGUUUUCACUGAUCAAGAACGAAAGUUAGGGGAUCGAAGACGAUCAGAUACCGUCGUAGUCUUAACCAUAAACCAUGCCGACUAGGGAUUGGAGGGUGUUCUAUUCGACCCCUUCAGCACCUUACGGGAAACUAAAGUCUUUGGGUUCCGGGGGGAGUAUGGUCGCAAGGCUGAAACUUAAAGGAAUUGACGGAAGGGCACCACCAGGAGUGGAGCCUGCGGCUUAAUUUGACUCAACACGGGGAAACUUACCAGGUCCAGACAUUGUUAGGAUUGACAGAUUGAGAGCUCUUUCUUGAUUCGAUGGGUGGUGGUGCAUGGCCGUUCUUAGUUGGUGGAGUGAUUUGUCUGGUUAAUUCCGUUAACGAACGAGACCUUAACCUGCUAAAUAGUGGCAGCUACUCUUUGUAGGUGGCCAACUUCUUAGAGGGACAACUUGUUUUCAUCAAGUG
This 795-nucleotide ribosomal RNA is filed under the name marine plankton environmental sample. RNAcentral's name for it is "SSU rRNA". It matches the Rfam family "Eukaryotic small subunit ribosomal RNA", at positions 617 to 1439 of the family's 1831-position model. The record is from RNAcentral.